UGGCCUCCGAGUCCGGCACACCGCCAGCGGGGCCCGGUUGCUGGAGUGUCCUGGUGCCAACACCAGUGCGGCCGCGGACAAGCUAGCAACCCGGCUCCGUGAAAUCCUGCCGGACCCAGAAGUGG
Non-coding RNA from Bombyx mori (domestic silkworm), 125 nucleotides. The record is from RefSeq and is marked provisional. NCBI's taxonomy places the organism in Eukaryota, Metazoa, Arthropoda, Insecta, Lepidoptera, Bombycidae.